RNAcentral lists this ribosomal RNA (1140 nucleotides) under Vibrio alginolyticus. Its description in RNAcentral is "bacterial SSU rRNA". It matches the Rfam family "Bacterial small subunit ribosomal RNA", at positions 328 to 1460 of the family's 1533-position model. Lineage: Bacteria; Pseudomonadati; Pseudomonadota; Gammaproteobacteria; Vibrionales; Vibrionaceae. The record is from RNAcentral.
GUUCCAGACUCCUACGGGAGGCAGCAGUGGGGAAUAUUGCACAAUGGGCGCAAGCCUGAUGCAGCCAUGCCGCGUGUGUGAAGAAGGCCUUCGGGUUGUAAAGCACUUUCAGUCGUGAGGAAGGUAGUGUAGUUAAUAGCUGCAUUAUUUGACGUUAGCGACAGAAGAAGCACCGGCUAACUCCGUGCCAGCAGCCGCGGUAAUACGGAGGGUGCGAGCGUUAAUCGGAAUUACUGGGCGUAAAGCGCAUGCAGGUGGUUUGUUAAGUCAGAUGUGAAAGCCCGGGGCUCAACCUCGGAAUAGCAUUUGAAACUGGCAGACUAGAGUACUGUAGAGGGGGGUAGAAUUUCAGGUGUAGCGGUGAAAUGCGUAGAGAUCUGAAGGAAUACCGGUGGCGAAGGCGGCCCCCUGGACAGAUACUGACACUCAGAUGCGAAAGCGUGGGGAGCAAACAGGAUUAGAUACCCUGGUAGUCCACGCCGUAAACGAUGUCUACUUGGAGGUUGUGGCCUUGAGCCGUGGCUUUCGGAGCUAACGCGUUAAGUAGACCGCCUGGGGAGUACGGUCGCAAGAUUAAAACUCAAAUGAAUUGACGGGGGCCCGCACAAGCGGUGGAGCAUGUGGUUUAAUUCGAUGCAACGCGAAGAACCUUACCUACUCUUGACAUCCAGAGAACUUUCCAGAGAUGGAUUGGUGCCUUCGGGAACUCUGAGACAGGUGCUGCAUGGCUGUCGUCAGCUCGUGUUGUGAAAUGUUGGGUUAAGUCCCGCAACGAGCGCAACCCUUAUCCUUGUUUGCCAGCGAGUAAUGUCGGGAACUCCAGGGAGACUGCCGGUGAUAAACCGGAGGAAGGUGGGGACGACGUCAAGUCAUCAUGGCCCUUACGAGUAGGGCUACACACGUGCUACAAUGGCGCAUACAGAGGGCGGCCAACUUGCGAAAGUGAGCGAAUCCCAAAAAGUGCGUCGUAGUCCGGAUUGGAGUCUGCAACUCGACUCCAUGAAGUCGGAAUCGCUAGUAAUCGUGGAUCAGAAUGCCACGGUGAAUACGUUCCCGGGCCUUGUACACACCGCCCGUCACACCAUGGGAGUGGGCUGCAAAAGAAGUAGGUAGUUUAACCUUCGGGGGGACGCUUACCAC